Betta splendens (Siamese fighting fish) is the source of this 429-nucleotide long non-coding RNA. RefSeq lists it as uncharacterized. The transcript has 3 exons. The record is from RefSeq and is a predicted model, not a curated record. NCBI's taxonomy places the organism in Eukaryota, Metazoa, Chordata, Actinopteri, Anabantiformes, Osphronemidae.
GUUCACUCUAAUGAGCCACUUCCUGUAAAAUGGCGUCAUGUUCAGUCAGCCACGAUCCUCCAGCCCCAGCGGCCUCAACACGGUGUGAGCCACACUGAGCCGUCUGGCAGCACCCGCCGCCGUCACUCGGCUCGUGACGCUGGUUCCUCCCAUUGUUGGACGGUUUCAGCUCCGCCUGCUGGACCCACACGCUUGGUGAACUGGAGGUGGGAGCGCGGACCGGCGCCAGACGUCCUUGAGUCCGACCCUGUUAGAAAACCUUGCCGUCGGGCGUCCUGUGGCCCAGCGCUCAUUACUGCUGCAAGGAUCUUGGGUGACUCUUUAAAGAUGCUUAAAAAUUAAAUGUACCCUGUAUUAGAACAAAACACUGUGAUUCUUUCAGUGCAUUAAAAGUUUUAACAGAUAAAAAUGCACCUCUCAAAAUAUUAC